Molecule: unclassified non-coding RNA, 217 nt
Filed under: uncultured Agaricomycetes
Lineage: Eukaryota; Fungi; Basidiomycota; Agaricomycetes
Description: sequence contains ITS1
Source: RNAcentral
UUGAAUACUCUUGGGUGCUGAUGCUGGCCUUUCGAGGCAUGUGCUCGCAUUCAUAACCAUUCAUCUUCUCUUGUGCACCUUUUGUAGCUCUCUUUGGAUCGUGGGGGAAGGUUUUUUUUAGGCCUUUCUUUGCUUUUCAAGGAAGCUAUGUUUUCAUAUACAUUAUCAAGUUAUAGAAUGUCUAUUUAACGGCCGUAAAAAGCCAUUAAACCUAAUA